Asparagus officinalis (garden asparagus) is the source of this 194-nucleotide long non-coding RNA. RefSeq lists it as uncharacterized. The transcript is spliced from 2 exons. The record is from RefSeq and is a predicted model, not a curated record. Lineage: Eukaryota; Viridiplantae; Streptophyta; Magnoliopsida; Asparagales; Asparagaceae.
GUACGGAUGUUUUGUACAUGAUACAUUGUAAAUUUUUUUGGGCUAAAUUAUCAAAUUGGCAUUUUGGCAGGAGUCUAUUCAAAUUAUGGCCACAUUUGAUUGCCUCAUGAAGACUUAUGGGUUCCUGGCACCAGACUGCAAAGAGUACAUGAAUAUACUGCAAAGAGUUAAAGAAGAGAGGGAACUAAAAUAAA